Molecule: ribosomal RNA, 253 nt
Filed under: uncultured bacterium
Lineage: Bacteria
Description: partial 16S ribosomal RNA
Rfam family: Bacterial small subunit ribosomal RNA
Source: RNAcentral
UACGGGGGGGGUAAGCGUUGUUCGGAAUUACUGGGCGUAAAGGGCUCGUAGGCGGCCUACUAAGUCAGACGUGAAAUCCCUCAGCUUAACUGGGGAACUGCGUCUGAUACUGGAUGGCUUGGAUCCGGGAGAGGGAUGCGGAAUUCCAGGAGUAGCGGUGAAAUGCGUAGAUAUCUGGAGGAACACCGGUGGCGAAGGCGGCAUCCUGGACCGGUAUUGACGCUGAGGCGCGAAAGCUAGGGGAGCAAACGGG